Molecule: ribosomal RNA, 263 nt
Filed under: uncultured bacterium
Lineage: Bacteria
Description: partial 16S ribosomal RNA
Rfam family: Bacterial small subunit ribosomal RNA
Source: RNAcentral
UACGUAGGAUGCGAGCGUUGUCCGGAUUUAUUGGGCGUAAAGAGCGCGCAGGCGGUUAGGAAAGUUGGAUGUGAAAGACCCUGGCUUAACUAGGGGAGGUCAUUCAAAACUAUCUAGCUUGAGGGCAGCAGAGGAAAGUGGAAUUCCCGGUGUAGUGGUGAAAUGCGUAGAUAUCGGGAGGAACACCAGUGGCGAAGGCGGCUUUCUGGGCUGUCACUGACGCUGAGGCGCGAAAGCGUGGGUAGCGAACCGAAUUAGAUACU